GCCGGGGUGGCCUAGCUGGUUAGGGCGCAAGACUCAUAAUCUUGAAGUCGCGGGUUCGGAUCCCGUCCCCGGCA
RNAcentral lists this transfer RNA (74 nucleotides) under Methanosarcinales archaeon. Its description in RNAcentral is "tRNA-Met". It matches the Rfam family "tRNA". From Rfam's summary of the family: Transfer RNA (tRNA) molecules are approximately 80 nucleotides in length. Their secondary structure includes four short double-helical elements and three loops (D, anti-codon, and T loops). Lineage: Archaea; Methanobacteriati; Methanobacteriota; Methanomicrobia; Methanosarcinales. RNAcentral also lists the same sequence under 1 other name. The record is from RNAcentral.